GACGAACGCUGGCGGCGUGCCUAAUACAUGCAAGUUGAGCGCUGAAGGUUGGUACUUGUACCAACUGGAUGAGCAGCGAACGGGUGAGUAACGCGUGGGUAAUCUGCCUUUGAGCGGGGGACAACAUUUGGAAACGAAUGCUAAUACCGCAUAAAAACUUUAAACACAAGGUUUAAGUUUGAAAGAUGCAAUUGCAUCACUCAAAGAUGAUCCCGCGUUGUAUUAGCUAGUUGGUGAGGUAAAGGCUCACCAAGGCGAUGAUACAUAGCCUACCUGAGAGGGUGAUCGGCCCACUCUGGAAUGAGACCCGGCCCAAACUCCUACGGGAGGCCGCCGUAGGGAAUCUUCGGACAUGGACGAAAGUCUGACCGAGCACCGCCGCGUGAGUGAAGAAGGUUUUCGGAUCGUAAAACUCUGUUGGUAGAGAAGAAAGCUGGUGAGAGUGGAAAGCUCAUCAAGUGACGGUACCUACCCAGAAAGGGACGGCUAACUACGUG
RNAcentral lists this ribosomal RNA (497 nucleotides) under uncultured bacterium. RNAcentral's name for it is "partial 16S ribosomal RNA". It matches the Rfam family "Bacterial small subunit ribosomal RNA", at positions 28 to 507 of the family's 1533-position model. The record is from RNAcentral.